CUCAACUGUUUAGCAAUGUGCCAGGACUAGAGGACAGCUAAGACCUCCGAGUUGAGACUGCAAGUCAUAAAGGACUUUGUGAGGUAUGGUACCCCUGCAACCUAGCACAGUGCAUAGCAUGUAGAAGACCCUCAUUAAACAUUUCUUAUCUGAAUGAAAAUGUUACAAAAUGCAUUGUGAAAUACCUACAAUGUCGAAAGAAAGGAAUAAACAAAACCAAACUACUACCCGAUUCGGCAUGCAAACUGUUACCUCAAGAAGGAAAGAAGAAAAUGGAAUGCAAAAACCAUUGUGUCUAAACAUUGACCAGAUGUGUGAAAAACUUAUUUUAAUGAGGGGCACUGUGACUCACUAAGCAGUAAAACUUGAGUCCUGAU
This 377-nucleotide long non-coding RNA is filed under the name Vulpes vulpes (red fox). Its description in RNAcentral is "lncRNA (ENSVVUG00000010345.1)". Lineage: Eukaryota; Metazoa; Chordata; Mammalia; Carnivora; Canidae. The record is from RNAcentral.